UCGGACGGGUGAGUAAUGUCUGGGAAACGUCUCGAUGGAGGGGGAUAACUACUGGAAACGGUAGCUAAUACCGCAUAACGUCGCAAGACCAAAGAGGGGGACCUUCGGGCCUCUUGCCAUCGGAUGUGCCCAGAUGGGAUUAGCUAGUAGGUGGGGUAAUGGCUCACCUAGGCGACGAUCCCUAGCUGGUCUGAGAGGAUGACCAGCCACACUGGAACUGAGACACGGUCCAG
This 233-nucleotide ribosomal RNA is filed under the name uncultured bacterium. RNAcentral's name for it is "partial 16S ribosomal RNA". It matches the Rfam family "Bacterial small subunit ribosomal RNA", at positions 98 to 334 of the family's 1533-position model. The record is from RNAcentral.